Molecule: long non-coding RNA, 4905 nt
Organism: Equus caballus (horse)
Lineage: Eukaryota; Metazoa; Chordata; Mammalia; Perissodactyla; Equidae
Source: Ensembl
ACCCCGCCUAUGCUGGCCCGCAGGUUUCCCCAGGGCUUGCUGUUGGGUGGGGCCAGUCCCUAGGGCAGGCUGCCUGCCCUGGCUGAGCUGGAUUAAAUCAGUGCUCUGGUGGGUGGGGCACACCCUGUGCUAACAGACCAGGGGAAGAACUCCCAUGGUGUCUGCCAGCAUCUGUGUCAGCGUGCCUGUACUUGGUCACAAUAAUGGCUGCCACCCAUGUCUCAGUCCCUGGAGAGCUCUCACCGAGAUGCACCCAGAGCUUAUCAGGCUGCCUCCAUGUAGAGCUCCGCAGAAGCAAAUCCUUUGGAUCUGAAGAAACUGGAGAGGCUCAAAGAAGUGGAGACGGCACUGGGCUGGGCUUCAGAGCUCCGAGUGGCUUGAUUCUGCCUCACUUCCUGUGCGGCGUUAGAGGAUUUUCCCAAUUGUGAAGCAGAGGGGCGGAGCUGUAACAGGGAAGCUUUGGGGCCAGCAGAAAGUGCUCUGGUUCCUCUCUGGCCCUCGGGACCGUGGGGCUGGGAGGCAGGUGGCGCAGCUCCUCUCCAGAUAGAGCACAGCAGCAUCCCUGUAUCCCUCCCUCAGGCAGCCUGCAGCACCUUCUCGCCUUCAUUUUCUGUGCAUGCCCAUCAGUGUAGUAAAUCCUGAGAGCUUCUGCUUUUUUUUUUUUUUAAGCAAAAUAGAAUCAGAGCCUUUUGUGUUUGAAAGCCGUGUCCAUAAAUCAGUGCUCCUUGAAUGAAAAGACGUGUGUGGACCCACGAAGACAGGGCUUUGAAUUAUUUAUCAAGAACUGAUGCUACUUGGAGCCUCAGGCACACUCAGCCCUACAAAGAAACUGAGCAGCUUCUCAAGAUUUUUUUGUGGCCCUGACGGAUGAUGACAUGGGUUAAGAAACAUACACGGGGCCCCAUACCAUUUGGUCCCUACCCUGUUCUCCAGCUCCCGAAUGCCCUAAGCUGCAGCCACAUCCAGGGACUCACAGAUUCCCGGAUGCAUCAUGCUUUGCACAUACUGUUCCCUCCCCUUGGACGUCCUUUUCCACUUAUCCACCCUGCAAACUCCUAUGUGUCUGUUAAGAGCCAGCCUAAAAAUCCCCUUCUUUCAGGAAUGUUUCCCUCCUUCUCCUGUCCGGGUUAGUAGCUGGCUGGAUAUCAAAUACUUCAAGGGCAGAGUUAGUUAUGUUCGCUUAUCUAGCCAUAAAACCAUGUCAGGCACAUAGCCAGAGUUUGGGAUUGUUAAGUGAGGGAAUGGUGUGAUGUGAGUGGAGUCAGCUGUUCUCGGUCAGCACGAUAUGUCUGGCACAUGAUGCUUAUUUAAUUUCCAGCUCAAUGUGUCUAAUAUUCCCGUGAGGGGCUCGGAUGAAGACGCCAGGGACGAAUGCUUUUCCCGACUGCAGGUAAUGCAAACCUGGAAAUGAUAGCAAACACUUUGAAUGAUGAUUCAGUGUUUGAAACGAUCUUGAUAGGUUGGCAGAAUUGUCUACAAUUAACAAGAUGACCCUGAACACGGAUACAUUUAAAGUGUUACUAAUAUAAAGGUCUGAAUUGAUGACAUUCCGUGGGUCAGCGAUUUGGGCCAUGCUUAGCACGAUGGCUCCUCCGUUGGGCCAGGCUCUCUCAUCAGCUGCUGGGCCCGCUGGGGUUGAGUGGUUUGGGACAUCUUUGCUGAGAUGGCUGGGAUGACUGGGGACUCUCCCCAGGGUUGUCAUCCUCCAGCGGGCUGGCCUGGGCUUGCUCACAUUAGUGGUCUCAGGGUUCCAGGAGCAGAAAGAGAGGACAAGCCCCAGGGCACAAACACUUCUCCAGUGUCUUCUCACUGCACAUUUGCUAUCCUCCCAUUGGCCAGAGCAAGGCACAUGGCGAGCUGAGAAUCAGGUCGGGGAAGAUAACUCCAUGGGGUGGAUACAAGGAACGAACGAAUUUGGAGCCGUAAAUGCAACAAUUUACCACAGCGAGGAGAACUGAUGUUGGGAGAUAGCCAUGAUUUCUACAGAGGAUGCAAAUGGAAAGCAGGAUUCUAGAGAAAGCACAGGAUGUGGGGGUCCUUUGAUUCCAACACAACAGGGGCUAAAUAAGACAUACAGGAAGAAAUGCUCUGAUGCAGUAUAACAUCUGGAGAGGGGAAGGGUUAAUUAAGCCCAUUAAGGGGCGAGAAAAGGAUUUCCAUUUAAGGAACAAGGGAACCUAAUACCUGUUCGGCUUUUAAUCAGUGCCAGGCUCUGGACCAGGCAUGUUGCAUGCGUUGUCUCAUUUAAUCCUUACAGUUGCAGGUGAGGAAACAGGCUCAGAGAGGUUAAGCAACUUGUCCAAGGUCAUACAGUGAGUGAGUGUGGAUUCGAGCCCAAUUCUCUCCGGCUCCCAGGCCUGAAAGAACCAGAAUUUGGCUGAAGCAGGAUGGCAGCGAAGGAGGAGAGGAACGGAGUAAAGGAGUGCUGAACUGCAGGAGUUUGUAGCAUCGACUCACCUCGGUGUUGGGGCAGAAUGAGCCUGGGUGAAGAUGUCUCCUGCCAGCUUGGAGUCCUGGACCGUGAGGUGGUGAUCACGUUUCUGCUCUAGACCUCCUGCCCCGCAGCAUCGGGCAGAGUAAUGAUACCUUGCACUGAGGGGGUGCAUCUUGUGCGCCAGGUGCUGUGCUGAAGGCUUCCUAGCCGUCAUCUCAGUCUCCACCACAGUCCCAACGUGGGAGGUGCUCUAUCAGCCCCAUUCUACGCGCAGGACCACUGCAGUCAGAGAAUUAAGUAGCACGUUCAUGUUCACAAAGUGAGUGGACGAGCAGGGCUUGAAGGCAGGGCUGUGGGGCCCGAAGUUCCUGCUCUGAAAUGCUUGGCCGUGCUGCCUCGUGGAGGGAGCAUGUGUGCCAAAGGUAAGGGUGGUGGGAGGUGGAGGGUCUGGAUGUGGUGACCCUCAUGGUGAGGAGUUUGAAACGUCACCAUCAUAAACAUAUGAGGGCUUAUUACUACUGACCAAGGAUGGGACUGUUUUAUAUUUUAAAUUAACCCUCAAAAGUGCUUGGGGAUAGAUACUAUUAGUUUGCCCAUUUUAGAGAUGAAGAAACUGAGGGUCAGAGAGGUAAAUUUGUUUGCUGAGAACCACACCACACCACGAACCAGUUCCAGAGCCACAGGCCAACCUGUUCCUGGCUGACCUCAGCCCACGCUGGCCCAAUGCGCUAUCCACGACUGCGUUAUCAUCAAACUGUGGCCCCUCCUGGCUGAGUCCGACAGUUACACCCAGAUGCCCUUCACGUGUGCAUAGGAGGGGCGAGGACCCAGACCUCCAAGGACUAGGGACUCAGCCCAGCUUGAGCAGGCCAGAGGCAGUCCCUCUGCAGGAGGGGCAGGUGAGCUCCCGACCUCCCCAUUCUGGGAGGCGAGCUCCUACGAGCUUGGACAAACCGGAUCAGGUCCUGUGCACGGACUUUUCUGCUUUUCACACCGUACUAUAAACCUCCCAACGCUGUGCAGCCAGACAGGCAGGAGUCGAGCAAGAAGCGUGUCCUCCUUCUGAAUCAAACAUUUCCCAUAAACCUGUUUUCUCCCCAAAGUCAUCAAUAACAAUCUUCAUGCCGGCAGCAUCUGCUAACGAUUUAUUCUUACACAGGUAGUAUAACAUUUUCGUAUACACGACAUUUUUCAUCCCAGGUUGAGUUAAUUACAAAUGACGCACAAGCAAGAAGCAUUUCCUCCAGCGAUCUGCUGCAAACAAUGGCGCAUUGUUCUCCCCUCCGCCGGAAGCGAGAAUUUGCAGUCUUUCUCCAGCUUCCACAGCCCUCCCUCAUUUAUCACCAUUGCUCUAAAUGAGUCUCAUAAACCAAUAGAAAAGGCCUCUGAAACAUUGGACUCAGUAGCUUCUUCCUGCUAAAAGCAGGUUCUAAAAAUAUGUGGGCCCUUGAAAACUGAGUCCUAGAUUUUCACUGAAUGGACGAAGAACCACAGGCGUCUCUCUCACCACCUGUGUCCAUAUGAUGUACAAGAAAUCGUGGGGUCUCGGACGUGACUGAGGGACCUUAAAGUCCAUUUAGUCAAUAACAGAAUGCUGCCAGCGGCAGCAGGGCUGCACCGAGCACAGCUCUCCAAAUUGGUGCAUUUUCCACAAUUUUAAGGUAAUAAAAUUGUAAUAACUAAUAGUGAAUGUUUAUAUAGUUCUACUGUGUGCCAGGCUCUGUCCUAAGUCAUAUAUAUAUAUUACACAGCAUCCUCACAAUCGUUCUGAAGUGUUACUGUUAGUAUUCCCAUUUUACAGAUGAGGAAACUGAGGCACGGAUUGCUAAGUCACUUGUUCAACAUCAUGUAGCUGAGAAGGGGUUGAGUCAGGAUUCAAAUCCAGGUGAUCUGGCUCUAGUCUGAGCUCUUAACCACUCUGCUAUCCAGCCUUUCUGUAGCGUGUAACCUAUUUACUUUCAUAUGUCAACGAUGAUGGUUCUGAAGACCAUACAGAAGAGAUGUUGAGUGCAGUGGUGUGAACAAAGACCAUGAGUUUUGUAGAAAAGGCAAUCUCUCUGUCCUCACCAAACAAUGGGAACUGCCUCUCUCCUUCCCCAGUGGAAUCACCUCCCUCAGCUCUGCCUCUGGGAGGGGUCCUGGUGGAGGGGAUAUUCUUGCCACAGACCCUGAGAGGGGAGCAAUAACUGCUCUAUGAGGUAUUUCACACUCUAGUCCUGCUAACCUCCCUUUUCUGGUGAGGAAGCCAAGGAAUAAAGAGGUUAAGUGAUUGUUCCAAGGCCUCACAGUGAAGCGAUGAUGGAAUUGGGGUCCGAAGCCAGUUCUUUUGCGUAUGUGCUAUUUAACAAUCAUUGUAUUUGGAGCUGGCAAAAUAGCUAAUAAAGGCUGACAUUUGCUGAAAACUCACUAUGUCCUUACUGUGUAUAGUAGAUUAACUUAUUGUUCAUCACUCAUUCCUUUGUCCUCUAUCU